GGAGGAAAAGAAACCAACAGGGAUUGCCUCAGUAACGGCGAGUGAAGCGGCAAGAGCUCAAAUUUGAAAUCUGGAGCCUUCGGCUUCCGAGUUGUAAUUUGAAGAGGAUGUUUCGGUCGCGGCCUGGGCCUAAGUUCCUUGGAACAGGACGUCAUGGAGGGUGAGAAUCCCGUACAUGGCUGCAGGCUUGCUUCUAUGUGAAACUCCUUCGACGAGUCGAGUUGUUUGGGAAUGCAGCUCAAAAUGGGUGGUAAAUUUCAUCUAAAGCUAAAUAUUGGCGGGAGACCGAUAGCGCACAAGUAGAGUGAUCGAAAGAUGAAAAGCACUUUGAAAAGAGAGUUAAACAGUACGUGAAAUUGUUGAAAGGGAAGCGCUUGCGAUCAGACUCGCUUUCGGUUGAUCAACGUUCCUUCUGGUUCGUGCACUCUGCCGUUUGCGGGCCAGCAUCGGUUGGGGCGGUGGGACAAAGGCGUUGGGAAUGUGGCUCCUCUCGGGGAGUGUUAUAGCCCAGCGUGUCAUGCCGCCAGUCCCGACCGAGGUCCGCGGUUCGCCUAGGAUGCUGGCUUAAUGGUCGUAAGCGACCCGUCUUGAAACACGGACCAAGGAGUCUAACAUCUAUGCGAGUCUUUGGGUGUCAAACCCAUGGGCGGAAUGAAAGUGAACGGAGGUGGGAGUCCUCGGAUGCACCAUCGACCGAUCCUGAUGUUCUCGGAUGGAUUUGAGUAUGAGCAUAGCUGUUGGGACCCGAAAGAUGGUGAACUAUGCCUGAAUAGGGUGAAGCCAGAGGAAACUCUGGUGGAGGCUCGCAGCGGUUCUGACGUGCAAAUCGAUCGUCAAAUUUGGGUAUAGGGGCGAAAGACUAAUCGAACCAUCUAGUAGCUGGUUCCCAA
Molecule: ribosomal RNA, 890 nt
Filed under: Dactylellina lysipaga
Lineage: Eukaryota; Fungi; Ascomycota; Orbiliomycetes; Orbiliales; Orbiliaceae
Description: partial large subunit ribosomal RNA
Rfam family: Eukaryotic large subunit ribosomal RNA
Source: RNAcentral